GAUGAACGCUGGCGGCGUGCUUAAUACAUGCAAGUCGAACGGAGUAUGUAGCGAUAUAUACUUAGUGGCGAACGGGUGAGUAACGCGUUGGUGACCUGCCCCAAAGCGGGGGAUAACAGUUCGAAAGGACUGCUAAUACCCCAUGAGGUCGUAGAGGUUAGAGGAUCUACGACGAAAGGAGCAAUCCACUUUGGGAGGGGCCUGCGUCCCAUCAGCUAGUUGGUAAGGUAAAAGCUUACCAAGGCGAAGACGGGUAGGGGGCCUGAGAGGGUGACCCCCCACACUGGCACUGAAACACGGGCCAGACACCUACGGGUGGCAG
Molecule: ribosomal RNA, 322 nt
Filed under: uncultured Chloroflexota bacterium
Lineage: Bacteria; Bacillati; Chloroflexota
Description: bacterial SSU rRNA
Rfam family: Bacterial small subunit ribosomal RNA
Source: RNAcentral